Molecule: transfer RNA, 79 nt
Filed under: Heterocephalus glaber (naked mole-rat)
Lineage: Eukaryota; Metazoa; Chordata; Mammalia; Rodentia; Bathyergidae
Rfam family: tRNA
About the family: Transfer RNA (tRNA) molecules are approximately 80 nucleotides in length. Their secondary structure includes four short double-helical elements and three loops (D, anti-codon, and T loops). Further hydrogen bonds mediate the characteristic L-shaped molecular structure. tRNAs have two regions of fundamental functional importance: the anti-codon, which is responsible for specific mRNA codon recognition, and the 3' end, to which the tRNAs corresponding amino acid is attached (by aminoacyl-tRNA synthetases). tRNAs cope with the degeneracy of the genetic code in two manners: having more than one tRNA (with a specific anti-codon) for a particular amino acid; and 'wobble' base-pairing, i.e. permitting non-standard base-pairing at the 3rd anti-codon position.
Source: Rfam by way of RNAcentral
GAAGGUGUAGCUCAGUGGUAGAGCACUUGCCUAGCACACAUACCUGAGGCUGCUCUGGGUUCAACCCCCAGUACUGCCA